GCCGCCUUAGCUCAGUUGGUUAGAGCGCCAGAUUGUGGCUCUGGAGGUCCUCAGUUCGAACCUGAGAGGUGGUACCA
RNAcentral lists this transfer RNA (77 nucleotides) under Caulobacter sp. RNAcentral's name for it is "tRNA-His". It matches the Rfam family "tRNA". From Rfam's summary of the family: Transfer RNA (tRNA) molecules are approximately 80 nucleotides in length. Their secondary structure includes four short double-helical elements and three loops (D, anti-codon, and T loops). Lineage: Bacteria; Pseudomonadati; Pseudomonadota; Alphaproteobacteria; Caulobacterales; Caulobacteraceae. RNAcentral also lists the same sequence under 1 other name. The record is from RNAcentral.